Molecule: ribosomal RNA, 640 nt
Filed under: Candidatus Parcubacteria bacterium
Lineage: Bacteria; Candidatus Parcubacteria
Description: bacterial SSU rRNA
Rfam family: Bacterial small subunit ribosomal RNA
Source: RNAcentral
ACGCGUUAAGCGAUCCGCCUGGGUAGUACGAUCGCAAGAUUAAAACUCAAAGGAAUAGACGGGGACUUGCACAAGCGGUGGAUCAUGCGGCUCAAUUCGAUGAUAAACGAAAAACCUCACCAGGGUUUGAAACUCAACUGACCGCCUUAGGAAACUUUGGCUUUCGCAAGACAGUUGGGCAGGUGAUGCAUGGUCGUCGUCAGUUCGUGGCUUGAGUUGUUCCCUUCAGUGGGGUAACGAACGCAACCCUCGUUGCCUGUUUUAUAUGUCAGGCGAGACUGCCCCCUCACGGGGGAGGAAGGUGAGGAUGACGCCAGAUCAGCAUGUCCCUCUGAUAUCCUGGGCUGCACGCAUGAUACAAUGGCACCGACAACAGGUUGCGACGGAGUAAUCCUGAGCUAAUCCUUAUAAACGGUGCCCCAGUUCGGAUUGAGGUCUGCAACUCGACCUCAUGAAGCCGGAAUCGCUAGUAAUCGCAGGUCAGCUAUACUGCGGUGAAUACGUUCUCAAGUCUUGUACUCACCGCCCGUCAACUCAAGGGAGCCGGGAAUACCCGAAUUUCACUUAUGGUGGAACACGGUAAGCUCGGUGACAGGGAGUAAGUCGUAACAAGGCACGGGUAGCGGAAGCUGCUCGUGGA